CGCUGCAGGUGCACCCGUAUUCCCUGACCCGACUAAAAAAAGAAAAGGAGGGUGGGGAGAAGAAAGAGCGGAGAGCAAAGGUGUAGGCCGACCGCCGAUCUCAACGACGGCGGUGGUGUUGGUGGAGGUGGUAGGUACGAGGAGGUCGAGGGGCUCUUCGAAUAGAUAGAGGAGGACCUGGAAGAUUGAGGAGAAGGGGUUCUAAGCUCUACCUUCCCUACCCCUUCUUCUCCGCGGGCGACUACCACUACCUGAGGAGCAACUGGCGCCGCCGCGUCUGCCGCAGCUCCCCAGGUCUCUGGCCCCGCACCCUCACCUACCGUUCCCUCGCGCGUCGGCAGCUGGGGCACGUGACAGAGGGAGAGAGGAGUUGCUGAGCGCCGCUUCUUCGGCGACCUCCUCCUCGAGCUGGGCCUGCUGCCACCGGCCUCCUGCAGUGGUACCCCUAAACGACGUUUCCCGGUGGCCUCCUCCUCGGGUUGAUGUCCUCUUACGCCACAUCGUUCUCGGAGCGGUCGUAGCAGCCGUAGCUCGUCAGGAGAUUUCGAGCAGGAGUGGUGGUGCCUGCGGCUUUGCCGAGGUUACCUUUCCAACCUACGAGUGUACCUUCUUCACUAGACUAAAACGAGAGAGUAGAGAGAAACAUCUAAAAACAAGUACGACCCUACACAAGUACACACCUUCGACCCGACACAGAUAUACAUGUAAAAACAAGUACGUUCUUAAAAAAUAAAUGUGAGUAAUCUAAUACAAUAAGAGUACACAUCGAGCAGUAAAUAGGUUUUAUAACAAGAAGGUAAACCCCGAAAUCAACGUCUAAGUACGAAUUUUAAUAUAACAAGUCUGCGUAGAAACGCACGAACAAAACGAAAUUGGGCAGCGGAUCGGUACUUCGUGAGACGACGUCGAAGAGUGAAGUGCCAGCUGCUGUGAGACGAGGUUGGGCAGUGAAGCGACACUUCGGGAGACGACGUCGGAGAGUGAAUUGGCAUCUGCUGUGUGACGAGGUUGGGCAGAGACAGGUCAGGGUCUGUUUGGACAACAUUUCCAAUAAUAAAACACGUAGAAAACGACGUAGUUGAUCCCGACUUUCCUGAUUUUAAUAAGUUGAAACAAUGAUCCCUAGACCAGUAUCCAUAACAUUUAUGAUUUAUCAUACUAUAGGAAAAUUCUUUGUUAAAAAGAAAAACAAAACUACACGAACACUAAACGAGAGGUCCAAUAGAAAGAACUCUUGAAUAACCAAAUGGUUAAACUCUAAACAAAGUAGUACAAAAACAUGGUACAGUAGCCCUAAAAGUAAACAAGACGGUAUGUGUCUUGUAUAACGUCACGAAGUCCCAAAAGUUAACAAGAAGACGGUAUGGUAUACAUACGCACAUAUAAGGACUGAAUAUCAAAGGAAAAACAACACGUUUUCACGAAUAUUAAAGAGUACGGGAGUUGAUGAUAAAAUCGAAAUCAUACGAGACCCAUAUUCGUACCGGCGAUGUUACCAGUCAUGGUUCCCACUCACGGAGGUGCAAACUUCUACUAGAGUAUCCUACGGAUAUUGAUACGAAGAAAAUAAACCAUUUUUCUUUGAUACGAAAAAAAUAAGAGAACCAACUUACAAUUUGUUCUUUUUGUUUAUCAUAAACACAGCGGAACUCUCCGUGUGGGCAAUAAAUAAAGCGCGUUCAAGAGAAUACACUCUAAGAAUGAUAAAAGAUUUUAUAAUACGUGACUUAUAAGACUGGUAAUUAAGAAUGAUUAUUAUCCGAAGAACCCUUUUUGACCCUUUACUUAUAUAUUGGUCCGCACACAAUUCCCAUGUACUCAACAUCUAUUUGAUAAUACUUAACCUUAUUGUUUAACUCAUUUAACCAUGCUGUUGUUUUGAACUUCGAUCCUUGACGUUCAAAUAUCAUAUGUACCUAUCCUCGUCUCUUUAUUUGUAUGACUAGUUUUAUCCACAAUAGAUUUCUUUACCAGUCUUCACACUAGAGAGAAGAAUAGUCGGUUUGUACUAGGUACACUCGAUUUCUUAACCAGUCGUCGUUUAUCGAACAUAACAAGAAUGAAGAUUUUUUCGUACUGACAUACUUUUUUACUCUUUCCAGGUGAUUUAUUAAUCUCCCGCUAUCCGCGUCGACUUGGUUACUUUACUGGGAGGACGUCUAUAAGUUGUGAACAAAAUGUGAGAAAUACAGUGAAAGACUAAUCAACACCGCAUAAUGUUGUUUACCCAGGUGAACAACGUCCGUCACAAGAGGACGACCGCCCCAAGGUUUCACCUACACCUUGCGGUACUGGUUCUAGAAGUUUACAGGUUAUAAAGUAUCUGAUAUAGGUACUGUCUCCAGAGAAAAGAAAAUUUAUUUUUCACUGAAAGAGGAAGAAAAGGAAUCUAUUUAAAUACUAACUCCUCUUAUAUAAGGAAGUACACAACAAAGUCAUAUUUGCUGUAUCUCAACCAACAUGGGACUCAAAGAAGGAAGGAGGUUACCUAACUAACGUCAAGAUAGACUCGGAGUUGACCAGCUCACAACACGGUUGACAUUCAGAGUAACAAUCAGUUCUUACGUACGAACAAUCGUGUACGUAGAAGUUGUAGUGGGACCAAUACAAAGUAACAAAAGUCUUUACCCUUUACCAAAUUAUUAAAUGAGAGAAAACUCUUUUAGCCAUCAACGUCUUGUAUGAUAAAGUAAUAGUGCAUGACAAAACGUAAAAGGUAAUUUUACCUUCCUAAUGGAGGAUGUAACGUUCAUUAGAAUAAAAAAGAAGCAAUAAACAAAGGCCCUUUGUACUUAACUUACUACUAUCAUGUCUAAAUUAACCGGUACACGAACGAAAAAUGUCCUUGCUAGCUAUAUAACAAUUUUCUUACUUUCAUACGGGACGGACUUCUAAAAUCGAAAGAAAAAGUACUCUUCUAUCUUCCAAAGACCGGACAAUUGUAGUUAUAUUAAAGUUACUAGACGAUGGGAACAUAUAAAAGAGAAACCAAUUUGUUCUUCGAUAACGCAACCAGUCAUCUAGAGAGAAUUCAAAAUCUACACCUACUUUACGAAGAAAGAUCUACAAAUCAGGUAGUUCAUCACACUUGAGUAAACCGAGGGUUAGACGAAAGUCGAGAUUACUAAACCUAAUGAAGUUCUUCCUGUAUAUUCGUGUUUUAUUGUUUUUCUGCUGGUACUUCCGAUCUCGGUGGCUACGUCUCUUCUUGCACGUUCUCGACUUACGAUUCCGCCUAUCUGAAGUUUUCUGUUCGCCGCUCGUUUGGCAAUCCUAAGUUUUCUGAUUUUCACAAGAAUUUCGACGUCUCCUCCUCGACUACUUCCACGUCAAUCUUCGUUGUGGUUUUAGUCUCGUCGAGUCUCUCCCGUAUAAAGGAAGUUCAUGUAGGUCGCUGUUCGUUCCCUGAAGCGGCCGUUCGAGACCAGGGCUGUUUCUACCUAGACGCGUCUGCACCCUUCUCUACGUCUUCUUUUACCACGUCGCGGGUCAAAUGAAACAGUCAAGGGAAGACAUC
Molecule: ribosomal RNA, 3517 nt
Filed under: Triticum aestivum (bread wheat)
Lineage: Eukaryota; Viridiplantae; Streptophyta; Magnoliopsida; Poales; Poaceae
Description: partial small subunit ribosomal RNA
Source: RNAcentral